AGCUAAUACUUGCUUUAGCACUCUUGAUUAAUUUCUUGAGUGUGUACUUGUUAAGCCUUUUAAGAAAAAAGUUAUUAACUUAAGGAAUUAUAACAAAGAAGUAACACGUAAUGGAUCCGUCCAUUUUUAGUGUGUAUCAAUCGAGUUUCUGACCUAUCAGCUUUUGAUGUUAGGGUAUUGGCCUAACAUGGCUAUGACGGGUAACGGGGAAUUAGAGUUCGAUUCCGGAGAGGGAGCCUGAGAAAUAGCUACCACAUCUAAGGAAGGCAGCAGGCGCGUAAAUUACCCAAUUCUAAAGAAGAGAGGUAGUGACAAGAAAUAACAAUACAAGGCCAAUCUGGCUUUGUAAUUGGAAUGAUGGGAAUUUAAAACCUUCCCAAAACUCAAUUGGAGGGCAAGUCUGGUGCCAGCAGCCGCGGUAAUUCCAGCUCCAAUAGCGUAUAUUAAAAUUGUUGCAGUUAAAACGCUCGUAGUUGAAUUUCAAAGAAUCGAUAUUUUAAGCAACGCUUUUAGCUUAAUCCACAUAACUGAUACUACGUAUCGACUUUGUGCGAAUUUUGCUAUUAUGUGUUCUUUUAAUUAAAAUGAUUCUUUUUAAGGUCUUUCUCUUGCUUCGGCAUUUGAAGAUCUUGUUACUUUGAGUAAAUUAGAGUGUUCAAAGCAAACAGAUAUAGCAUUGCGCGUUUGAAUACUACAGCAUGGAAUAACAAAAUUGAACAAGUCAGAAUUUUGUUCUUUUUUCUUAUUUUGGCUUAGUUACGAUUAAUAGGAGUAGCUUGGGGGCAUUUGUAUUCAGAUGUCAGAGGUGAAAUUCUUAGAUUUUCUGGAGACAAACAACUGCGAAAGCAUUUGCCUAAAAUACUUCCAUUAAUCAAGAACGAAAGUUAAGGGAGUGAAGACGAUCAGAUACCGUCGUAAUCUUAACCAUAAACUAUGCCGACUAGGCUUUGGAUGAAAGAUUUUAAAAUAAGAGUUUUUUCUCUGAGGAGUUAAAACUCUUAGAUUGCUUCCUUCAGUGCCUUAUGAGAAAUCAAAGUCUUUGGGUUCUGGGGCGAGUAUUCGCGCAAGCGAGAAAGUUAAAAGAAUUGACGGAAGGGCACCACCAGGCGUGGAGCUUGCGGCUUAAUUUGACUCAACACGGGAAAACUCACUAGUUUAAGACAAGAGUAGGAUUGACAGAUUAAUAGCUCUUUCUUGAUUUCUUGGAUGGUGAUGCAUGGCCGUUUUUAGUUCGUGAAUAUGAUUUGUCUGGUUAAUUCCGAUAACGAACGAGAUCUUAACCUGCUAAUUAGCGGCAAAUACGAUAUAUUCUUACGUGGAAUUGCAUACUUAUGGUUUGUCUCUAUUGAGCUGCAUAAUAAUGAAGGAUCGUGAUUGCUUUUCGUGUCAAUCUUUCUUAAUCGAAUCGUUGAUGUGUUUUGUAUAUCUCGUUCUUUCAUUACCUUGCAAUCACUCAUUUGCCUUAUCAUACUGUUUCUCUUUUGCGUAAGAAUGUAUUUGCUUGAUUGUAAAGCUUCUUAGAGGAACGAUGUGUGUCUAACACAAG
RNAcentral lists this ribosomal RNA (1546 nucleotides) under Plasmodium sp. Its description in RNAcentral is "SSU rRNA". It matches the Rfam family "Eukaryotic small subunit ribosomal RNA", at positions 162 to 1439 of the family's 1831-position model. The record is from RNAcentral. Lineage: Eukaryota; Apicomplexa; Aconoidasida; Haemosporida; Plasmodiidae.